CACACCGCCCGUCACAUCACGAAAGUGGAUUGUACUAGAAGUCCGCACGCCAACCCGCAAGGGGGUAGCGGCCCAAGGUAUGAUUCAUGAUUGGGGUG
RNAcentral lists this ribosomal RNA (98 nucleotides) under uncultured bacterium. Its description in RNAcentral is "partial 16S ribosomal RNA". It matches the Rfam family "Bacterial small subunit ribosomal RNA", at positions 1386 to 1482 of the family's 1533-position model. The record is from RNAcentral.